ACCUUUUCUAGGAGCUCCUGUAUCGACUUUUAAUAUUAAAAAAAGAAGAUAAAUACAAUCAUAAAUACUAAUAUUAAAUUUUCAUAUUAAUAGCUUAACCACAUUGAAAGCAUAAAAAUGUAAAAUAAGCGCAACGAGAUGAGGAGUGCUUCAACCUCUUACCUUCCUUGAGAUUUUUUUCUCAUUAACCAAGUUUUCUCACACUGCUAAGCCAAAACCCUAGGUCGUGGGUGAUGAGAAAGGAUAAGAAGAAUGACUCAAAUAGAGUCUCUUUAAGGUGGGUUCAAAACAACUAAAUUUAAUAGAGAUCUUUUAGUGAAAAGUGGAGGAAAAUAGCAGAGGAAAAAAAAGUUUUCUCUCUUGCAAUGGUGGUGGCUGACGCAAUACAGACAGAAAGG
RNAcentral lists this long non-coding RNA (398 nucleotides) under Gossypium barbadense (sea-island cotton). Its description in RNAcentral is "long non-coding RNA (GBAR_LNC018452)". The record is from RNAcentral. Lineage: Eukaryota; Viridiplantae; Streptophyta; Magnoliopsida; Malvales; Malvaceae.